RNAcentral lists this ribosomal RNA (1057 nucleotides) under Apilactobacillus kunkeei. Its description in RNAcentral is "bacterial SSU rRNA". It matches the Rfam family "Bacterial small subunit ribosomal RNA", at positions 342 to 1392 of the family's 1533-position model. Lineage: Bacteria; Bacillati; Bacillota; Bacilli; Lactobacillales; Lactobacillaceae. The record is from RNAcentral.
CGGGAGGCAGCAGUAGGGAAUCUUCCACAAUGGACGAAAGUCUGAUGGAGCAACGCCGCGUGAGUGAUGAAGGUUUUCGGAUCGUAAAACUCUGUUGUUAAAGAAGAACAAGUGUUAGAGUAACUGUUAACACUUUGACGGUAUUUAACCAGAAAGCCACGGCUAACUACGUGCCAGCAGCCGCGGUAAUACGUAGGUGGCAAGCGUUGUCCGGAUUUAUUGGGCGUAAAGCGAGCGCAGGCGGUUUUGUAAGUCUGCUGUGAAAGCCCUCAGCUCAACUGAGGAAGUGCAGUGGAAACUACAAAACUUGAGUACAGAAGAGGAAAGUGGAACUCCAUGUGUAGCGGUGAAAUGCGUAGAUAUAUGGAAGAACACCAGUGGCGAAGGCGGCUUUCUGGUCUGUUACUGACGCUGANGCUCGAAAGCAUGGGUAGCGAACAGGAUUAGAUACCCUGGUAGUCCAUGCCGUAAACGAUGAAUACUAGGUGUUGGAGGGUUUCCGCCCUUCAGUGCCGCAGCUAACGCAUUAAGUAUUCCGCCUGGGGAGUACGACCGCAAGGUUGAAACUCAAAGGAAUUGACGGGGGCCCGCACAAGUGGUGGAGCAUGUGGUUUAAUUCGAUGCUACGCGAAGAACCUUACCAGCUCUUGACAUCUUCUGCCAACCCAAGAGAUUGGGCGUUCCCUUCGGGGACAGAAUGACAGGUGGUGCAUGGUUGUCGUCAGCUCGUGUCGUGAGAUGUUGGGUUAAGUCCCGCAACGAGCGCAACCCUUAUUAUUAGUUGCCAGCAUUUAGUUGGGCACUCUAGUGAGACUGCCGGUGAUAAACCGGAGGAAGGUGGGGACGACGUCAAAUCAUCAUGCCCCUUAUGAGCUGGGCUACACACGUGCUACAAUGGAUGGUACAACGAGUCGCGAAACCGCGAGGUCAAGCUAAUCUCUUAAAGCCAUUCUCAGUUCGGAUUGCAGGCUGCAACUCGCCUGCAUGAAGUUGGAAUCACUAGUAAUCGUGGAUCAGCAUGCCACGGUGAAUACGUUCCCGGGCCUUGUACACACCG